GACGAACGCUGGCGGCGUGCUUAACACAUGCAAGUCGAACGGAAAGACCCUGCUUUUGUGGGGUGCUCGAGUGGCGAACGGGUGAGUAAAACGCGAGUAACCUCUCCUUGACUUUGGGGUAACUUCAGGAAACAGGGGCGAAUACCGGAGAGGAGAUCCUGCUGCGUGGGGGGGGUUGGUAAGUUUCGGCGGUGUGGUCUGGUCUCGAGGGUUAUCAGCUUGUUGGUCGGGUAGGGGAUUACCAAGGGUUUGACGGGUAGCCGGCCUUGGAGGUGGACCGGCGUCCUUGCGCCUGCGAGAGGGCGCAGUAUCCUACGUGAGGCAGAAGGGGGGAACAUUGCACAGUGGGGGGAAGCGUGAUGCAGCGACGCCGCGUGCGUGAUAACGGCCUUCGGGUUGUAAACCGCUUUCGCCUGUAACGAAGCGUGCGUGACGGUAAUGGGUAAAGAAGCACCGGCUAACUACGUG
This 468-nucleotide ribosomal RNA is filed under the name uncultured bacterium. RNAcentral describes it as "partial 16S ribosomal RNA". It matches the Rfam family "Bacterial small subunit ribosomal RNA", at positions 28 to 507 of the family's 1533-position model. The record is from RNAcentral.